GUGCUCACUUCAGCAGCACAUAUACUUAAAUUGGAACAAUACAGAGAUUAGUACGGUCCCUGUGCAAGGAUGACAGGCAAAUUCCUGAAGUGUUCCAUAUUUUC
This is a small nuclear RNA of Loxodonta africana (African savanna elephant), 104 nucleotides long. The record is from Ensembl. Lineage: Eukaryota; Metazoa; Chordata; Mammalia; Proboscidea; Elephantidae.